AUUCCAUUAUGUGGGCAUCUCCUUUGAAAUUCCUUAAAUCGUUCCCUUGCAUCAUACCAAGACUCCCCAUCAAGUUGAUGGAAGUUGUUAAUCUGUCCUCUAAUUCU
Molecule: small nucleolar RNA, 107 nt
Organism: Humulus lupulus (European hop)
Lineage: Eukaryota; Viridiplantae; Streptophyta; Magnoliopsida; Rosales; Cannabaceae
Source: RefSeq, a predicted model, not a curated record